CCAAGGAGUUUAGCGUGUGCGCGAGUCAUUGGGUGUCAAAACCUAAAGGCGUAAUGAAAGUGAAGGAAACUUUGUUUUCGAGGGAGGAUGGGUUAGGUUCCUCUCAUCAGGGCCGGCCUCGCACUCCCGGGGCGUCUCUAUCUCAUUGCGAGAGGAGGCGCACCUAGAGCGUACACGCUGAUACCCGAAAGAUGGUGAACUAUGCCUGGCCAGGACGAAGCCAGGGGAAACCCUGGUGGAGGUCCGCAGCGAUUCUGACGUGCAAAUCGAUCGUCGGAGCUGGGUUUAGGGGCGAAAGACCAAUCGAACCAUCUAGUAGCUGGUUCCCUCUGAAGUUUCCCUCAGGAUAGCUUGCGCUCGGAAACAACGAGUCUCAUCCGGUAGAGCGAAUGAUUAGAGGCCUUGGGGUCGAAACGACCUCAACCUAUUCUCAAACUCCAAAUAGAUGAGAACCCCGGCUUUCUUGAACUCUGUUUAUGAAGCCGGGGGCUCGGAUCAGAGUGCCAAGUGGGCCAAUUUU
RNAcentral lists this ribosomal RNA (520 nucleotides) under Knightomiris distinctus. RNAcentral describes it as "eukaryotic LSU rRNA". It matches the Rfam family "Eukaryotic large subunit ribosomal RNA", at positions 666 to 1138 of the family's 3401-position model. RNAcentral also lists the same sequence under 1 other name. The record is from RNAcentral. Lineage: Eukaryota; Metazoa; Arthropoda; Insecta; Hemiptera; Miridae.